RNAcentral lists this ribosomal RNA (435 nucleotides) under uncultured bacterium. RNAcentral's name for it is "partial 16S ribosomal RNA". It matches the Rfam family "Bacterial small subunit ribosomal RNA", at positions 29 to 507 of the family's 1533-position model. The record is from RNAcentral.
AGCGAACGCUGGCGGCAGGCUUAACACAUGCAAGUCGAACGGGCAUAGCAAUAUGUCAGUGGCAGACGGGUGAGUAACGCGUGGGAACGUACCUUUUGGUUCGGAACAACACAGGGAAACUUGUGCUAAUACCGGAUAAGCCCUUACGGGGAAAGAUUUAUCGCCGAAAGAUCGGCCCGCGUCUGAUUAGCUAGUUGGUAGGGUAAUGGCCUACCAAGGCGACGAUCUGUAGCUGGUCUGAGAGGAUGAUCAGCCACAUUGGGACUGAGACACGGCCCAAACUCCUACGGGAGGCAGCAGUGGGGAAUAUAGGACAAUGGGCGAAAGCCUGAUCCAGCCAUGCCGCGUGAGUGAUGAAGGCCCUAGGGUUGUAAAGCUCUUUUGUGCGGGAAGAUAAUGACGGUACCGCAAGAAUAAGCCCCGGCUAACUUCGUG